RNAcentral lists this ribosomal RNA (497 nucleotides) under uncultured bacterium. RNAcentral's name for it is "partial 16S ribosomal RNA". It matches the Rfam family "Bacterial small subunit ribosomal RNA", at positions 28 to 507 of the family's 1533-position model. The record is from RNAcentral.
GAUGAACGCUGGCGGCGUGCCUAAUACAUGCAAGUCGAGCGAACAGAUGAGGAGCUUGCUCCUCUGACGUUAGCGGCGGACGGGUGAGUAACACGUGGAUAACCUACCUAUAAGACUGGGAUAACUACGGGAAACCGGAGCUAAUACCGGAUAAUAUAUUGAACCGCAUGGUUCAAUAGUGAAAGACGGUUUUGCUGUCACUUAUCGAUGGAUCCGCGCCGCAUUAGCUAGUUGGUAAGGUAACGGCUUACCAAGGCAACGAUGCGUAGCCGACCUGAUAGGGUGGUCGGCCACAUUGGAACGGGGACACGGUCCAUACUCCUACGGGAGGCAGCAGUAGGGAAUCUUACGCAGAGGGCGAAAGCAUGACGGAGCAACGCCGCGUGAGUGAUGAAGGUCUUCGGAUCGUAAAGCUCUGUUAUUAGGGAAGAACAAAUGUGUAAGUAACUAUGCACGUCUUGACGGUACCUAAUCAGAAAGCCACGGCUAACUACGUG